Molecule: ribosomal RNA, 348 nt
Filed under: uncultured soil bacterium
Lineage: Bacteria
Description: bacterial SSU rRNA
Rfam family: Bacterial small subunit ribosomal RNA
Source: RNAcentral
AGAAUGAACGCUGGCGGCGUGCUUUACACAUGCAAGUCGAGCGAGGCGUGUAGCAAUACACAGUCGAGCGGCGAACGGGUGAGUAACACGUGGAUCAUCUACCUUCAGGUGGGGGAUAACCCGGGGAAACUCGGGCUAAUACCGCAUAACAUCGUGAGAUCGAAAGGGGCGCAAGUCCCGCCAGAAGAGGAGUCCGCGUUCGAUUAGCUAGUUGGUAGGGUAAUGGCCUACCAAGGCGACGAUCGAUAGCCGCUGAGAGGGUGAUCGGCACGACUGACUGAGACACGGUCAGACUCCUACGGGAGCAGCAGUAGGGUAAUUUGCGACAAUGGGACGAAGCCUAGACGC